UACGAAGGGGGCGAGCGUUGUUCGGAAUUACUGGGCGUAAAGGGCGCGCAGGCGGUCCUUCAAGUCAGAUGUGAAAGCCCCGGGCUCAACCUGGGAACUGCAUUUGAGACUGGAGGACUUGAGGACGGGAGAGGAGAGUGGAAUUCCCAGUGUAGGAAGUGAAUUCGUAGAUAGUCGGGAGGAACACCAGUGGCGAAGGCGGCGACCUGGACGGACACUGACGCUGAGACGCGAAAGCGUGGGGAGCAAACAGG
This 254-nucleotide ribosomal RNA is filed under the name uncultured bacterium. RNAcentral describes it as "partial 16S ribosomal RNA". It matches the Rfam family "Bacterial small subunit ribosomal RNA", at positions 524 to 776 of the family's 1533-position model. The record is from RNAcentral.